AGUGGGAUAACUGGGUCAAAUGGUGGUUCCAUUCCUAGUUUUUUGAGUAAUAUCCAUACUGCUUUCCAGAGUGGUUGCACCAAUUUGCAGUGCUAUCAUCAAU
This 103-nucleotide microRNA precursor is filed under the name Marmota monax (woodchuck). The record is from RNAcentral. Lineage: Eukaryota; Metazoa; Chordata; Mammalia; Rodentia; Sciuridae.